UACGAAGGUCCCAAGCGUUGUUCGGAUUCACCGGGCGUAAAGGGUGCGUAGGCGGUUUGACAAGUCUGAUGUGAAAUCCCGCAGCUUAACUGCGGAACUGCAUUGGAAACUGUUUGACUAGAGGAAUGGAGGGGAGACUGGAAUGCUUGGUGUAGCAGUGAAAUGCGUAGAUAUCAAGCGGAACACCAGUGGCGAAGGCGAGUCUCUGGACAUUUCCUGACGCUGAGGCACGAAAGCCAGGGGAGCAAACGGG
This 253-nucleotide ribosomal RNA is filed under the name uncultured bacterium. RNAcentral's name for it is "partial 16S ribosomal RNA". It matches the Rfam family "Bacterial small subunit ribosomal RNA", at positions 524 to 776 of the family's 1533-position model. The record is from RNAcentral.